This 750-nucleotide ribosomal RNA is filed under the name uncultured bacterium. Its description in RNAcentral is "bacterial SSU rRNA". It matches the Rfam family "Bacterial small subunit ribosomal RNA", at positions 28 to 776 of the family's 1533-position model. The record is from RNAcentral.
GAUGAACGCUGGCUGUGUGCCUAAUACAUGCAUGUCGAGCGAAGCACUUUUGUGCUUAGCGGCGAAUGGGUGAGUAACACGUACUUAACCUACCCUCAAGAUUGGGACAACACUUGGAAACGAGUGCUAAUACCAAAUACGUAUUUUUAUCGCAUGAUAGAUAUAUAAAAGGAGCUUCGGCUUCACUAGAGGAUGGGAGUGCGCUACAUUAGCUAGUUGGUAGGGUAAUGGCCUACCAAGACUAUGAUGUAUAGCGGGGCCGAGAGGCUGAUCCGCCACACUGGGACUGAGAUACGGCCCAGACUCCUACGGGAGGCAGCAGUAGGGAAUUUUCCACAAUGAACGAAAGUUUGAUGGAGCGACACAGCGUGCAGGAUGAAGGUCUUCGGAUUGUAAACUGCUGUUAUAAGAGAAGAAAAACCCUGGUAGGUAAUGACCAGGACUUGACGGUACCUUAUCAGAAAGCGACGGCUAACUAUGUGCCAGCAGCCGCGGUAAUACAUAGGUCGCAAGCGUUAUCCGGAAUUAUUGGGCGUAAAGAGUUCGUAGGUGGUUUUGUAAGUCUGAAGUUAAAUACCGGGGCUCAACCCCGGCCCGCUUUGGAUACUGCAAAACUAGAGUAAUAGAGAGGUUAGUGGAACUCCAAGUGAAGCGGUGGAAUGCGUAGAUAUUUGGAAGAACACCAAUGGCGAAGGCAACUAACUGGAUAUUAACUGACACUGAGGAACGAAAGCGUGGGUAGCAAACAGG